GCGUGAGAGGCUGCAUGGGUGGUAAGAUGGAUGCUCUUGGUUGGUGACACACCUGAGGUCAAUGUAGAACAUCUUAUCCAGCACUGAGGUUGCAUGGGAAUUCCCUGGGCCCCUGGUGGAAGGAAUUACUUCACAGAAAGAAACUUGCAGAAUGAUUUGCCCUCCUGAGAAAGAUCCUAGAUAUGUUGCUUUUUGCAAUAAUAUGAGCCUGACUACUGGGGAUGCCAACCUGUCACAUCAGUAGCAAAAGUUUUGACAUUACUGCCAGAAUCCGAGGAUACAUCAGCUGAAGUAAUAGUUCACUGAUUCAAGAAAAUUCCAAAAGACCCCAAAGAACAAUCCACAUCCAGAGAGAGAACUAUGGAGACUGAAUGUGGAUCAAAGCAUAGUAAGUAUUUUCAACUUUUGUUGUUGCUGUUGUUUGUUUGCUUGUUUUUUUCUUUCUUGUGUUUACCUCAGAAAUUGAUAUGAUUUUAUCAGUUGAAAUAAAAAAAUAGUACUACACUCUAAGGAUCAUGGGACCUUUCCAUUUGAUCUAUAGCUUCCAUAUUUUUGAUCUUUCUAAGCAACAAGAUUGCUCAGAGGAUAGUGCACUGGAUCUAAAGACCUGAAUUUAAAACCAACCUCAGACACUUAUUAACUGUCUGGUCCUGGACAAGUUGUGUAAAUCCCUUUCAGUUUGGAAGCAAACCCAGGUAUGCCUGAUUUCAAGGUCACUUCUCUAUCCAUCCUGCCAAAAAUUUUAUACACUAAAUUGAUAUUGUAUACUGCUACAUAUGGAAGAAAACCAAAGUUAGACAUGUAAACUUAUUUGUAAAAGUUAAUAGAAAUUUCUACAACAUGUGAAAUGGACUAUAGAGAAAGAUGUGUCUGUAGUUAAUUGUCUUGAAAGAACAAAACUGCAUUAAUUCUAGUCUCUCCUGAUUGAUAUAAAUUACACAUAGGUUGUAGAAAGGAUAAAGAACAAGAAGACCUGAAUUUAAAUUUGCUCUCAGACAUUACUACUAGUGAUACCCUGGAUAAAUCAUUCAAUCCAUGUUUUCCUCAUUUUCUUCAACUGUGAAAUGGAAUAAUGAUAAUAGCUCCUACUUUACAGGGUUAUUGUGAAAAUCAAAGAAGAUAAUAUUUGUAAAGUGUUUAACACACUAGUGCAAAAUAGGCGCUGUAUAAAUGCUUAUUCCCCUGCCAGGGAAUAUCUAGAGAAUAUUUAUAGAGACACUAUGAUAUUUCACCUAUCAAAGACAUUAUAACUGCUACUGUGGAACCUGAGUUAAGGGAAGUAGAAAUAGAGUGAGAAAAGUUCUUUUGGGACUUUAAUAGGCAAUACACUAAAAGUAAAUUUUAAGAUUGCAAGAAGAUACAGAUUCAUCUGAGUUUAAAUGAAUGAAUUUAUAGUCGUCUCAUUCAGGACUCUUACAUAACUUUCUCCACUAACUUUAAGCACCCCAAGAGAGAGUUAAUUGAUUAACAAAAAAAACAAAAUUUAUCAAAUGUUAUUAUGUGCUCAGGAUUGGGCUACAUGCUAGAGAUACAAAGAUAAAAAAUGAAAAAAUGUUUGCCUAUUGUGCAAAAUAUUGGGAAGAUAAUAUGUACACAUAUAGGUGAUACAAAUUAGCUUUGAGGUGAUAGCCAGAGGUAGGAGGACAAAAAAGGGAGAUUUACCAGCCAGAGAAUCAGAAAAGCCUCAAGCUUCAAAUGGUGCUUCAGUUAAGUCUUAAAGGAAACUGGAUAUUCUGAAACAGCAAUGAGAAGUCCAUCGCAGACAUGAGGUAUGGUCAGAGUAAAGACACGGAGAUAAGAAACUGAGCAGACAUAAAGAAAAUGAACAUGGAUCAAGAAUGGGACAAGAGCAAAUAGAGUUCACAUGAGAUUCCCUCAUAAGACUGUGAACAUUGUGAAAGUAGGAACUGGCUUUUGCCUUUCUAUUUCCCACACCUAACAUAUUGCUUGGCACAUAGUAGGCUCUUAAUAAAUAUUUAAAUGACUGGUUGACUAUAGUGUAGGUUCAUGGCAUGGGUAUAGCAGGUCAAAGGAAGAAGGGAUUUUAGAGUGCUGAAGAAUCAUUGAAAUGGCUGAGUGUGAGACUCUAUUUGAGAAGCCUCCCCGAAUCAUAGCUAUAUUGAUGAAAUAUAUUUUAGAGAUUUUACCUAACCUACCAUUUUCAUAAAUAAGAAAGAAUAAGGCAGGGAAACAAAGAACAAUAAGUAAAUGAUAAGGGAGUUAAAAUAUAACUACUAUGACAAUAAAUGCACUUUAUUUUUGCAGUCCAAUUUUCUUAAGGAAGGUAAAUAAAAUCAGGCAGAGGAGAACUGAUGGACUGAAAGAAGGUUGAAGAGAUUGGCCUUUAUGGUUCCUAUUAGCUUUAAACCUUAGGAUACUAAGAAAGAAGAAAGAGGAGCAAAGAAACUUAGUGCUCUUAAUAAGGACAAAUAACAGAUUAAGAAGGAGGGAGACCAGGACUACUUCAUUUCUCCACUACCAAUCUUCACAUUAAUAAUGCUUCUAAAAAGUAAAUUUGAGAAGGAAAUGAAUCCAAUUCAGUGGGAAUAGACAAAUCCUUUCACUUGUUUGAUUUACCAUUAGAAUUUCAUCAAUGACUAUUAUUGGUUCAUUUAAAGCUAUAAAAGGAAGGUGUACCACUCUUUUAUUCAGAUUAACAGUUCCAAUAUCUUCCCACUGAAUUGGAUUCAUUUCCUUCUCAAAUUUACUUUUUAGAAGCAUUAUUAGUGUGAAGGGUGGUGGUGGGGAAAUGAAUUGUGGUUUGGAAAGAAUGACUAUUAGCCUGAGUACAAUAUGAGUUGGGUUUAAGUUUGGGGUUUCUUUUUUUUUUUUUUUUUUGAUUGUUAUCCCAAAGACUUUAUGGUUCAAUUUUUUUUUUUUUGGCAGAAGUUGUUUUGUGAACAAAAGGCAGCAUGAUCCAAAUAUCACUGGCUCUUGAGUCAGAGAAUCUACUUCAAAUCUGGCCUUUAUAAUAUACUAUUUAUUUGUCCUUGAGCAAAUAGUUUAAUUUUUCUGGUCCCCGGUUUCCUGAUUUAUAAAAUAAAAGAUUUAAACCAAAUUGUCCCUAAUUUCCUUUUCUACAUCUAUGUAUAAUCCUACAAAGUAUUUAUUUUAUCUUCUGGAGGUAAGCAGCACAGAUUCUAUAUUCUUCUGAAUAUCUGGCUUCUCCAAAUAUCUGGCUUUUAGUCUUGGUCCUAUCAAUAACUAUGACCUUGGAUGAACUAUUCCAUAUCUGUAAGCUGUAUUUUCUGCAUAUAAAAUGAAAAGUCCACACCCAUUGAAUUUCAAGGACUCCCCCAAUUCUACUUUUCUAUGCUUGUUAAAAAGCAGCUAAAAUGUUAAGCCUAAGCAAUUACUCUCACAACAAUGCUUUAAGAUGAAUCUAAUAAAAAUUUAAUUAUUUCAAUUAUCCAAAUGUAUAAUAUAAAAUACAUUAAACUGACAAUAUAGCUAUAGUUAUAUUAUUUGUAUUAUGUAUUAUUACAUAUAAUAUACUAUAAUGUUAAAUAUGAAUUCGAUUAUACUUGACUAUAUAUGAAUCUG
Long non-coding RNA from Antechinus flavipes (yellow-footed antechinus), 3543 nucleotides. RefSeq lists it as uncharacterized. The record is from RefSeq and is a predicted model, not a curated record. NCBI's taxonomy places the organism in Eukaryota, Metazoa, Chordata, Mammalia, Dasyuromorphia, Dasyuridae. The transcript has 4 exons.